UGAGGAAUAUUGGUCAAUGGGCGUAAGCCUGAACCAGCCAAGUAGCGUGAAGGAUGAAGGCUCUAUGGGUCGUAAACUUCUUUUAUAAAGGAAUAAAGUGAGCCACGUGUGGCUUUUUGUAUGUACUUUAUGAAUAAGGAUCGGCUAACUCCGUGCCAGCAGCCGCGGUAAUACGGAGGAUCCGAGCGUUAUCCGGAUUUAUUGGGUUUAAAGGGAGCGUAGGUGGAUUAUUAAGUCAGUUGUGAAAGUUUGCGGCUCAACCGUAAAAUUGCAGUUGAUACUGGUAGUCUUGAGUUAAGUAGAGGUGGGCGGAAUUCGUGGUGUAGCGGUGAAAUGCUUAGAUAUCACGAAGAACUCCAAUUGCGAAGGCAGCUCACUGGACUUUUACUGACACUGAUGCUCGAAAGUGUGGGUAUCAAACA
This 422-nucleotide ribosomal RNA is filed under the name uncultured Bacteroides sp. Its description in RNAcentral is "partial 16S ribosomal RNA". It matches the Rfam family "Bacterial small subunit ribosomal RNA", at positions 355 to 774 of the family's 1533-position model. The record is from RNAcentral. Lineage: Bacteria; Pseudomonadati; Bacteroidota; Bacteroidia; Bacteroidales; Bacteroidaceae.